Molecule: unclassified non-coding RNA, 490 nt
Filed under: Hevea brasiliensis (rubber tree)
Lineage: Eukaryota; Viridiplantae; Streptophyta; Magnoliopsida; Malpighiales; Euphorbiaceae
Source: RNAcentral
CUAGUCGUAUCUUGUUUUUCUUUAUCUAACUUGCUUAACAUUUUUCAUGCAUAAAGUGAUUAUUAAUUUCAUUCUCGCGAAAGGGUGUGCCUUUAACUAGUGCCGCACAGAAUUUUGAGCAAGCAAGAAAAAGACUUAGAAGGAUAUUUGUUAUCAACUCACCUCAUGAAGCUGCAACAAUUUGAUUGGUUAUUUGUAAUAAAUGCUAAAGUUUUCCUAAUCUUAAUGAACUUAGUACCGCUGCUGCUUCCAUUCACAUUUUCCACAUGUUAUACGGGCGCUGCUAAUCUCCUUAAUCAUAUUAUUCUUCGUUAUCUUUUGCUGCCUUUCUGUUCUCAGAUUCAUAUCUAGUUCCUACCAUUGUCAAUAACUUGUGAUUGCUUAAUGAACUUUGGAAAAAGAGUUAUUUCCCACCAUAUAUGAUAGAAGUCUAGUUUGGCCUCGCUUGUAUUUUGACUGCUCCUUCCUUCAUUCUAUUUAUUAGUAGGAG